AUUGGCCAAUUGGGGCCAAGCUAUGGCAGACUCUGGAGAGAGUCAAGAGAUUCAUUAGUAUCUUUUUAGCCUUCUUAUUUUUGCACAGGUUCAAGUCAAGGAUUGGACCCUCUUCCCUGUCAAGCCUUAACAGAGCCAUUACUGACCUCUGGUGACUGCACACACUGCUACAAUGAAUUGCUGCCUCCCUCAAGAGUCCUUUAAAAGAACAUCCAAGAUGAUCAGUAAGCAGAGGUGAGACCUUCCACCAACAUGGGAAAGCACUCCUCACACAGGCAGAGAACUCAGUUUUACAACAGAAGUCAGUCCAAUACUGCAGCUGAAAGGAAAGUACUAUAUGG
This is a long non-coding RNA of Passer domesticus (house sparrow), 341 nucleotides long. RefSeq lists it as uncharacterized. The record is from RefSeq and is a predicted model, not a curated record. The transcript is spliced from 3 exons. NCBI's taxonomy places the organism in Eukaryota, Metazoa, Chordata, Aves, Passeriformes, Passeridae.